RNAcentral lists this ribosomal RNA (1287 nucleotides) under metagenome. RNAcentral's name for it is "bacterial SSU rRNA". It matches the Rfam family "Bacterial small subunit ribosomal RNA", at positions 242 to 1520 of the family's 1533-position model. The record is from RNAcentral.
UAGCUAGUUGGUGAGGUAAAGGCUUACCAAGGCGACGAUCUGUAGCGGGUCUGAGAGGAUGAUCCGCCACACUGGAACUGAGACACGGUCCAGACUCCUACGGGAGGCAGCAGUGGGGAAUUUUGGACAAUGGGGGCAACCCUGAUCCAGCCAUGCCGCGUGAGUGAAGAAGGCCUUCGGGUUGUAAAGCUCUUUCGGCCGGGAAGUAAUCGCAUGGGCCAAUACCCUGUGUGGAUGACGGUACCGGAAUAAGAAGCACCGGCUAACUACGUGCCAGCAGCCGCGGUAAUACGUAGGGUGCGAGCGUUAAUCGGAAUUACUGGGCGUAAAGCGUGCGCAGGCGGUUUUGUAAGACAGGCGUGAAAUCCCCGGGCUUAACCUGGGAACUGCGUUUGUGACUGCAAGGCUAGAGUACGGCAGAGGGGGGUGGAAUUCCACGUGUAGCAGUGAAAUGCGUAGAGAUGUGGAGGAACACCAAUGGCGAAGGCACCCCCCUGGGUCGAUACUGACGCUCAUGCACGAAAGCGUGGGUAGCAAACAGGAUUAGAUACCCUGGUAGUCCACGCCCUAAACUAUGUCAACUAGGUGUUGGGUGGGUAAAACCGUUUAGUACCGUAGCUAACGCGUGAAGUUGACCGCCUGGGGAGUACGGCCGCAAGGUUAAAACUCAAAGGAAUUGACGGGGACCCGCACAAGCGGUGGAUGAUGUGGAUUAAUUCGAUGCAACGCGAAAAACCUUACCUACCCUUGACAUGCCAGGAACUUGCCAGAGAUGGCUUGGUGCCCGAAAGGGAGCCUGGACACAGGUGCUGCAUGGCUGUCGUCAGCUCGUGUCGUGAGAUGUUGGGUUAAGUCCCGCAACGAGCGCAACCCUUGUCGUUAAUUGCCAUCAUUUAGUUGGGCACUUUAACGAGACUGCCGGUGACAAACCGGAGGAAGGUGGGGAUGACGUCAAGUCCUCAUGGCCCUUAUGGGUAGGGCUUCACACGUCAUACAAUGGUCGGUACAAAGGGUUGCCAAGCCGCGAGGCGGAGCCAAUCCCAGAAAGCCGAUCGUAGUCCGGAUUGCAGGCUGCAACUCGCCUGCAUGAAGUCGGAAUCGCUAGUAAUCGUGGAUCAGCAUGUCACGGUGAAUACGUUCCCGGGACUUGUACACACCGCCCGUCACACCAUGGGAGCGGGUUCCGCCAGAAGUAGGUAGCCUAACCGCAAGGGGGGCGCUUACCACGGCGGGGUUCGUGACUGGGGUGAAGUCGGAACAAGGUAGCCGUAGGGGAACCUGCGGCUG